This is a long non-coding RNA of Manis javanica (Malayan pangolin), 906 nucleotides long. RefSeq lists it as uncharacterized. NCBI's taxonomy places the organism in Eukaryota, Metazoa, Chordata, Mammalia, Pholidota, Manidae. The record is from RefSeq and is a predicted model, not a curated record.
GGUCACAAUCAGGCCCGAGGGUUUCCAGGCCAACUGUGGGGGCGGAGGGAGAGCUCCAAAGGGAGAGAGAGCAGUGGGUAGGAGGAAGCUGCAGGCUUGCUGAGCUGUCCCGGCACAGUGCUAGCGGGCCCAGGAGCAGUGUUCCUUUCCCAGCACCCCACCGCCGGCCCCACUCUGGGCCAGGCAGCAGGACACACAUUAGGGACAGAUGGCACUGGAGCCAGCCACCAGCCUUUAUCCCCAUGCACCUGGAAAGCCAGAGUCACAGAGGACAGUAGUUUCUGACAAGGAUUAUUUCUAUCUUUUUCAAGGAUGCUUCUAUGAGCAGGGCCAGGCUGGAUGCCCCUCCCUGUGGCCAGUCUCUGGAGAUGAAGCUCAGAGAGGUCAAACGUCUCAGAGGUCACACAGCAGGGAGAGGCAGCUGGUUUUCCGGACUUCAAAUGUCAAGUUCAGACUCUUCGCCACUCCCUUCCAUCCCUCUUGGACGUCUCUGGAACCCCAGGAACCUCCCAGUGUUCUGCGAAGCUUGGGAGCUCCGAGCGGGAGUGCACCUCACGAACAGCUGUAGCUGUCUGCCAGUCCCACUGCCCGGGCUCGCUGUGGGCCCAUGGCGCCCCCUUGCGCUCGUGGUCGGAUGCUCACCCGCUCCUCACCCGACAGGACUCCAGCCAGGCUCCUGGCUCCUCUGCCUCAACCUGCAAGUGUGCAGGAGAAGGUUGACUGGCUGCAGAAAGGGUGACAUGAGGUGACACAGGGUUUUGAUUUGCAUAUUAUACUCUUGGUAAACUAAAGCACGCUGUGCACUCGGCCCCAGCGCUUGGACACCACUGCAGUUUCCCCUGUGCUUCCAACCCUGUUCUUUUUUAAAAUUAUUUUUUAUUGGAAUAAAGUUAACAUAUUAGUAUA